AGUCAGAAGAAGGAGGAAGGAGAGAGGACUGGAGCUUGGAGGUGUGCUGUGAGACUUGAAAGGUCAGAGACCCAAAGUAAGGGAGACCCUCCCAGCAGGGGAUGGAGAGUCUCUCCCCCAGCAUCUAGGGACUGAAGAUACCCCACCCAAGGAGGAAGAGGUUUUGCCAUCAUAACAAGAAUGAUAUUUCCAACAAACUCCAUUCCCUCUCACCGAUACAUAACCAUCCCUUCAGCAAGAGUUUCUGAAAACCAUAGAAGGAGAAGAGCCGGACUCCAUCAAGUUAAAAAGGAAUUUUGCUAUGCCAAUCCAAUUAACCCUGGGAAGUACUAUGGGAUGGGUGCCAGUACAAAAUACUAACACAGGACCUUUCACUAGCUUUUGGAUUUACAUGUGCUUAUGCGGGAGUGGAACAUACAUGUUCUAGAUAUACAGUUUUAAAGGUAUGUAUUAUGCCAGAAUUCCAGCCUAAUCUAGGCCAUAACACACUGCUGCAUAAGUGCAUGCAUGAGAGAGUUCACUAUAAUUACUUUUUAACACCGAUGUCAUAUGGUCAUGAAGAUAUAUAUAGCCAACACACUAAAGGUGCAAAUCCAUAUGCUUAGUUUACAAGUGUCCGUUAUUAGGUAUUUGAGGCUGGCACUUGGUUAAUAGGCACUGGAUGCCAAAUAUACAUUCAAAUUCUCUCAGGAUUCUACAGACACCAAACAGUAUAAUCUUCAGGGCUACUUUAAAUAUUUUAAGUAUUAAAAACCAUCUUCCUGUCC
Molecule: long non-coding RNA, 767 nt
Organism: Mauremys mutica (yellowpond turtle)
Lineage: Eukaryota; Metazoa; Chordata; Testudines; Geoemydidae
Exons: 3
Source: RefSeq, a predicted model, not a curated record